CAAUUCACAACUAGACGCGGUUUGCGCGCGAGCUGCUUGAGUUUCUGCGCACGUCCACUGCACGCCGGGCUCGCGUUGAGAUCGACUAUACAGACUUAGUCCCAGUCUUCCGGAGUAGGGAAACUGGAUACUUGGCAGACAUCAAGAGAACGGAGCUGUACAUUUGCUAACGCAGUUUUAGGUCAGUUUGAAAGGAAAAAUACGUUAUGUUGCAUGGUAGUACACAGUAGGCGUGGAUGUGCGUUUAUGCAGUUUCAGAAGAAAAGCUCCUCAUUCUUUACCACCAAAUGCACUGCGACUGGUACGUUUACGGGUUUUCACCUUUGGAUUAGAUUGUGUGGUGUGAUGGAUCAUCCCAAACUUGCUAAGUAUUUAGAAAUUAAAGAUCACCACGCUCUGCUAACAGGAACAAGAUAUUGAGGUGCUACACGUCAAUGACAAAACUUCGCAAUCAAAUGACUACAGAUCAGAAGACGAGCAGAGAGUGGGAGUAGUGAUCAUGGUGGAGGAGUCAACCCGGAGCAGGUGAACACAGCUGCAGACCGCCAUGGGCUCUCAUCCUUCGGUCCCAGCUCUCCAUCUUCGGGUCUCCGAGAGACAGCAGGGGCCAGCCAGGGAGCGUCGGAGUGGGCAGGCGAGGCGGCUUGCUUCCCCCGCCGGCUACUGGCUCCUCGGCAACGAGGAGGGAGAGAAAUCAAUACUGAGAAGAGAUACUGCCAGGGGUCGCCCAAUGCAGCCUCCAGCCAUGGAGCCAUGGGAGACCCUGUACUAGGCUUUCUCUCCCUCUCAACCCGAUCUCAGUCAACUCACAUCAGCUGAAGAUAGGUCCGAGAGCUACGACGUUCUUCAUGAGUGUGUGUGGUUCUGCCGGAGGGCCUUUACAGACCCAGCAUCACUUGAUAAAACUGUGCCUGCUGGAGAACAAGCAGAAGAAGAAUGUCAAAGGUCUUUCUUUUCCCCAUCUUUGAUUCUUUUCCCACCUUGAGUGCACAUUCCCCCUGACUGUUUGAAUGAGUGCUUGACGGAGAUCUCUUUUACGCUAAAUCAAGAGGCCUUCUUAUUUUAGCUGUCUUUCUCCCGAGCAUGCACAAAGUGCUCUACAACAGAUGGGCCAGGAUAAGUGAACAGUUUGAACUCUUUUUACCCUUUCCAGAGUGGUUUUAGUUUCAUUUUUUGAUAAUCGCCACCGUCUGAGGGUUCGGGAAAGGACUUGUUCAUAUAAAGGAACUUGCCGGUCACCUUUCUUGGUUCCUUCAAAACAGUUUUAGUCCUUGUCUAUGGCAUUUGAUGGGUAUUACUAUCGUUGCACACCAAUGAAGGACGGCGCAAGUGCCUGAUCUCCUGACAGGCCCUCUUGAGCAACUUUAACCAGGCCACAGAUCGGCUUGGGAAGUGGAAGACUCUUGAAUGUCCCUUAAACAAGGUGCAAAAGUGGAAUGAAUGCCAUCAUUGCAUUGCAUUGAUGCAGUGGAUAGUUCCUGUAUCAGUGGAUGCUCCAUGGGAAGGAAUUCGGCUGUCAUUUGUAAAAUGCUAAGCUGAAGGUUAGAAAUUAACACGAUGCCAAGUGCCAGACGGCCGCCGUAACCGCUAGAUGCACGCCAUGCCAUUUAGUCUCCAACGGGCAGCGACUUCGACAAAAUGGCUGCCGCUGCCUGCCAGCUGUCCCCCUGCCAAGAUGGCGCCAGCUUAAACGCUGCUCACCCGCCUAAUCAGCUGCCAAUAUGCAGAUUCAAGGUUUUAUGUGAACGCAAGAGCCGCCAACCACAGCUGAAUCCAACUCAACUCAACUUUAUUUAUAUAGCGCUUUUUACAAUUUUUAUUGUUACAAAGCAGCUGUACAUAAGACAUAUUGACUAUAAGCAACACAAUUAAAGUUGUACCUGUAAAAACAAGAAAAAGGUGAAAACACAGAAGACAGACAUACCCACAUACAAAACACUCCACACACACAAUAUGCACACAUACUAACACACAUAGACAUAGACACACACACACACGGAUUCGCACGCACACACACACGUACACAAACAGGUACGCACACACACUGAGAGCACACAUUUAAGAUAAAGGAGAGAGAAGCACAGGUCAAAUAUAACAGACUAUAAAUUCCUAUAUGCAAUAUUAAUUAAGUAAAACUUUAAAAUUCUAAAACGGUGCCUUGAACUGGAGACCAUCCCAGCUGAGAUAUUUUCUUUAGUUACUGUACAUUUAUUUAAUCAUUUUACUUUAUUCCUUUUGUUGGACCUCAUGCCCCAUCAGGUAAGUUUUUUUAUACAUAGAAAAUGUACGUUUUUCAGAUUUUGGUUUUAUUCAUUUAAUUUAAUGAAUUAAAACCUGAAUGUUGUUUUAUUAUUUUAUUUUAUUUCAUUUUAUUUGUAAUCUAUAUCUCUUGUUAUUUAGCCGUUGUUUAUACGUAGACAACAAUAACAAGAAAUAUCAAAGUUGUUUAUUUCACAGUUAUGACUGUCUGACUCUGCAUUAUCUUGUUUAUUACACUGCCACUUAAAUACUUAAAUAAUGAAAUAACUGUAUAUUAAAUUUAAAAUUGAAUUGAAUAAUUAUUUUAUUAUGUAAGUAUAAAGAGACCACAGAGUGAUGUGACUUGCGCAGUUUAUUAUAUGAAAAUAUUUGACUUAGUAUGAAUACUGAAAGUAAUAAAUAGAUUUAUUCUGCAAAUAAACCUAUAAGUAAUAUAGUAAACUAUUGCAUUUAACUAAUUGCUGCCUUAUUUCUUAUAAAAAAACAAUAAAGUGCUUAAUUGCUGA
This is a long non-coding RNA of Triplophysa rosa, 2765 nucleotides long. RefSeq lists it as uncharacterized. The record is from RefSeq and is a predicted model, not a curated record. Lineage: Eukaryota; Metazoa; Chordata; Actinopteri; Cypriniformes; Nemacheilidae. The transcript has 6 exons.